Molecule: long non-coding RNA, 1548 nt
Organism: Salvia miltiorrhiza (redroot sage)
Lineage: Eukaryota; Viridiplantae; Streptophyta; Magnoliopsida; Lamiales; Lamiaceae
Exons: 3
Source: RefSeq, a predicted model, not a curated record
AAGCUGAAGUCGUUGAGAACCUGUGUUACAACAAGUCUGAUUUCCAAGAUUUGUGUUGCUUCAGGAGCUAUGUUGAACCAGGGUGGAUCCACACUGACUGACACUCCCUUGGGUGGCAGCACCGCGCACAGGUUGGUUCAGGUCGGAUGGGUUGCUGAAAGAGCCAGCACAUAUUCCUCCAGUGGCAAUUCUGAUUUUCUCUUGAUCAGUAUUCGGAAGAGAGCACAAAAAAGUGAGGUAAUCUUCAUAACCUGCUUCAAGAUCAUUAGUCAGAAAAUGUCGAAGCACAUAGAUUGUGGUGUGGUCAUUAUAAGGAAAUUACCAGUAGAAAACACAAGUCCAGGGUCCAAGGCUCGAGUAGGAUCAACAAGGCCAGCCCCAAAACCAAACGGCGCGGCUGGGUACAAUGUGUUGGCAGCAAAACCUUCAGCCAUUAUGGGAUCACCGCGGUUGUCAUGCUUGGUAGCUGUGGUUGACAUGGCUGAAGCAAUCAUUGAUGGAGUCCACGUAGGGUGAUUUUGCUUGAUGAGUGCAGCUAUGCCUGCUAUAUGAGGGGUUGCCAUACUCGUUCCAGAUAUCAGUGCAAAAUUGUGACCUGAAACAACGGGGUUUAAAACUGUAGCAUAUUGGCUGACAAAAUCAACAAAAAGAAUACAGCAACUAUGCAUCUGUAGUUACCUGAUAGGAUGGGGUUCAAAAUACUCAUGGGGCUCCAGGCAGCCCAAAUUUGGUGGCCCGGAGCUAAAAUAUCAGGCUUUAGCACGUCAGCAGGACUCCUCUUCUGGUCAAUGUAAUCGGGGCCCCUGGAAGAGAAUCGGCUAACAACAGGCGCUCUCUCCAUGCGGCUACGCCAAAGGACCAAGGGCUGUAGGAGACAACGGAGUAAGGAGCGGGGCCUUGGUUGCCGACAGCCUGAGCCACAAAAACUCCGGCCUUGCGUGCUGAUAGCAUGAAAAUGUCGAAGGCGCUUAGGAACGUGACUCUGUCGUCUGGUGGUGCGUCGGGUCCUAUUGAGAGUGUCAAGAUAUCUACUCCGUCUAAUACGGCCUGCACCUCAUUUCAAUUCUAAUUGUUACCGUUUCACUCACAUAGGUAUGUCCCAAGUAUUGAAACACAGAUGACAUGAGAUUCUUUAUUAUCAUUAAGCUUCUGUCACCUCUUUCAAUGCUCUAGCCAAGUCCUUGAUUUGGCUGACGGCUAUGAAUGGUGUUGAAAUAGGAGCACUACAGAUUCUAUGACAAAAUCCUAGUGGAGUUCUCAAGAAAAAAUCUAGUACAUACAUGCGACAAAAAUAACAACACAUAUUAGAAGGAUAAAAGAUUUUUUUUUUUUUUUUACUAUUUUGUGUUUAUUAUUGUAUUUUUAGAUUGAAAAAAUAAUCUGACCUGAUCAAUAGCUGCCAGUACAUCUGCUAUUGUUCCAACUGUAGGAUAAAUGGCCUUGUACAUGGCGACCCUGUUGAGUUGCACAAUAAAGAAACAAGUUGCAGCCAUUAAUGACAAAUUUGAAAGAAUAUAUAAUAUGCAUCGAGCAUAUAUUAAUUAUUUA